RNAcentral lists this long non-coding RNA (253 nucleotides) under Elaeis guineensis (African oil palm). Its description in RNAcentral is "long non-coding RNA (EGUI_LNC055825)". Lineage: Eukaryota; Viridiplantae; Streptophyta; Magnoliopsida; Arecales; Arecaceae. The record is from RNAcentral.
GGGGGGUUUACACCCAACAAAUAAGAUUCAAACCUUAUGCCUAUUUAAAGGAGCCUUCCUUAAGGUCUCUAGGCAAUUCAACCAGUAGCCCCAUGCCUCCCUUAAAGAGCCCACGCCCCCUUUUUUUCUUCUCCCUCUUUUCUCCCUUGGAGAUCCAAUGCCCAAGCUCGGACGUCCUCCAUCUUCAAUACCCAAAGGUGUUUGGGUGUCUUCUAUUACUUGCUGAUUUUUAGUUUCUAGUUGCUCCAUAAUC